ACAGACAGAAUAGCUCUUCUUGCUGAUCUUUGCCGAGCCGCUGGAAAAAUCUAACUUCUCGGAGCCCUGGGGCAUAAUGGUGAAGGGAGUAUCCAACUGUCUCUUAUAGAUUGCAGAGGACAAAUGGAUGAUACAGAAGUGCUUCCCAACCGAAGGCAGAAGAAGAGAGACCAACAAAUUUCGUUGUCUAUUUUCGUAGGCAGUGGCGAAACACUAUGUUAAAACACUAUUAUGAACACCGCCAACACAACAUCGUUGCUUUGGCUGUAUAGCAAGACCGCGAACGUAUGCCUGAGUUGUACUAUUUCAAGCAGAAAAUAUGAUACGACAUACUAACAAUAUACAACAGUUAUAUAAACAGAACAGUGAUAGCCCUAUGUGGAAAUUUGAUGUUACGCUUGAGUGAGUCGCAUUGUUGCUAUUUUAUAAUAAGAAAGACAAUACGUACUUCACUGUUAUUACAUAUCACAUUAUUUCUGUUUAAUACCUCAACAAUAUAGAGAUAUACGUACAAAGGAAGAAUAUCAUUAAAAGUAGUCUGCUA
Branchiostoma floridae (Florida lancelet) is the source of this 544-nucleotide long non-coding RNA. RefSeq lists it as uncharacterized. The record is from RefSeq and is a predicted model, not a curated record. NCBI's taxonomy places the organism in Eukaryota, Metazoa, Chordata, Leptocardii, Amphioxiformes, Branchiostomatidae. The transcript is spliced from 2 exons.